GAUGAACGCUGGCGGCGUGCCUAAUACAUGCAAGUCGAGCGAACAGACGAGGAGCUUGCUCCUUUGACGUUAGCGGCGGACGGGUGAGUAACACGUGGGUAACCUACCUAUAAGACUGGGAUAACUUCGGGAAACCGGAGCUAAUACCGGAUAAUAUUUCGAACCGCAUGGUUCGAUAGUGAAAGAUGGCUUUGCUAUCACUUAUAGAUGGACCUGCGCCGUAUUAGCUAGUUGGUAAGGUAACGGCUUACCAAGGCAACGAUACGUAACCGACCUGAGAGGGUGAUCGGCCAAACUGGAACUUAAACACCGUCCAAACUCCUACGGGAGGCAGCAGUAGGGAAUCUUCCGCAAUGGGCGAAAGCCUGACGGAGCAACGCCGCGUGAGUGAUGAAGGUCUUCGGAUCGUAAAACUCUGUUAUUAGGGAAGAACAAACGUGUAAGUAACUGUGCACGUCUUGACGGUACCUAAUCAGAAAGCCACGGCUAACUACGUG
RNAcentral lists this ribosomal RNA (497 nucleotides) under uncultured bacterium. RNAcentral describes it as "partial 16S ribosomal RNA". It matches the Rfam family "Bacterial small subunit ribosomal RNA", at positions 28 to 507 of the family's 1533-position model. The record is from RNAcentral.